GCAUAAAAAAAGCCACGGUUCUCACCGUGGCAAAAUCCAACAUAGCUAAAUUAAAAAUAAUCAGGAGGGCUGCCCGCCG
Molecule: non-coding RNA, 79 nt
Organism: Salmonella enterica subsp. enterica serovar Typhimurium
Lineage: Bacteria; Pseudomonadati; Pseudomonadota; Gammaproteobacteria; Enterobacterales; Enterobacteriaceae
Source: Rfam